Molecule: ribosomal RNA, 519 nt
Filed under: uncultured bacterium
Lineage: Bacteria
Description: bacterial SSU rRNA
Rfam family: Bacterial small subunit ribosomal RNA
Source: RNAcentral
UAGUCCACGCCGUAAACGAUGUCUAUUAGCCGUUGGGGUCCUUGAGACUUUAGUGGCGCAGCUAACGCGAUAAAUAGACCGCCUGGGGAGUACGGCCGCAAGGUUAAAACUCAAAUGAAUUGACGGGGGCCCGCACAAGCGGUGGAGCAUGUGGUUUAAUUCGAAGCAACGCGAAGAACCUUACCUACUCUUGACAUCCAGAGAACUUAGCAGAGAUGCUUUGGUGCCUUCGGGAACUCUGAGACAGGUGCUGCAUGGCUGUCGUCAGCUCGUGUUGUGAAAUGUUGGGUUAAGUCCCGUAACGAGCGCAACCCUUGUCCUUAUUUGCCAGCAUUUAGUUGGGUACUCUAAGGAGACUGCCGGUGACAAACCGGAGGAAGGCGGGGACGACGUCAAGUCAUCAUGGCCCUUACGAGUAGGGCUACACACGUGCUACAAUGGCCGGUACAGAGGGUCGCGAAGCCGCGAGGUGGAGCUAAUCUCACAAAGCCGGUCGUAGUCCGGAUUGGAGUCUGCAAC